RNAcentral lists this ribosomal RNA (494 nucleotides) under uncultured bacterium. Its description in RNAcentral is "partial 16S ribosomal RNA". It matches the Rfam family "Bacterial small subunit ribosomal RNA", at positions 28 to 507 of the family's 1533-position model. The record is from RNAcentral.
GACGAACGCUGGCGGCGUGCUUAACACAUGCAAGUCGAACGGUGAAGCGCCUUCCUUUUUGGUGGGUGUGGAUGAGUGGCGAACGGGUGAGUAACACGUGAGUAACCUGCCCCCUUCUUCUGGAUAACCGCAUGAAAGUGUGGCUAAUACGGGAUAUUCUGGGUCUGUCGCAUGAUGGGUCUGGGAAAGAUAUUGUUUCGGUGGGGGAUGGGCUCGCGGCCUAUCAGCUUGUUGGUGGGGUGAUGGCCUACCAAGGCGGUGACGGGUAGCCGGCCUGGGAGGUAUGACGGUCCCACUGGGACUGAGACACGGACCAGUCUCCGACGGGCGGCAGCAGUGGAGAAUGUUGCACAAUGGGCGCAAGCCUGAUGCAGCGACGCCGCGUGAGAGAUGGAGGCCUUCGGGUUGUGAACCUCUUUCGCCAGUGAAGCAGGCCUGCCUCGUUUGUGGGUGGGUUGACGGUAGCUGGAUAAGAAGCACCGGCUAACUACGUG